GCCAGAGUAGCUCAGGGGUUAGAGCACUCGUUUCAUAAGCGAGCCGUCGUGAGUUCGAAUCUCACCUCUGGCA
This 73-nucleotide transfer RNA is filed under the name Patescibacteria group bacterium. RNAcentral describes it as "tRNA-Met". It matches the Rfam family "tRNA". Rfam says of the family: Transfer RNA (tRNA) molecules are approximately 80 nucleotides in length. Their secondary structure includes four short double-helical elements and three loops (D, anti-codon, and T loops). The record is from RNAcentral. RNAcentral also lists the same sequence under 2 other names.